UAAUAUUUUUAAACAUUUUGAACAUAGUAGGUGGCUUACCAGAGUCGAAUAUGUCUUUUUAAAUACUGUAGAGAACUGUUUGUGAAUUGAGUCAAUUCCAUAGCUCGGCGACGAAAUAGAGGGAAUAGAGGAGAGAGAAUUAGCUAUUAGCAGUUCGUUUUACUCGUUAGACUGAUUGUUUAGAUAUUCGUGGCACACGAGUCGUAUACUUGUUUUGAUUCAGCCCCGUUCUGCGCUAGUGCGCCUAUAUUUUUAGACACCGUCUUUUGCGUGUUUAGUGUGCGGCCCUUCACUGGCAACAUGUUGAGUCUGUGCUAAUUGGCAGCAAGCCAGCGGCGCAGAUCGAGACGGCGAAUAGCCAAUAGAGAACACUGAAAAAUAUGUUCACUACACGCGAUACCCAAAGCAAAGCCAGUGCAAUAAGCAGCGCUGAUUUACGAGUGAGCGACAGUUGCAGCAC
This is an unclassified non-coding RNA of Drosophila navojoa, 460 nucleotides long. The record is from RefSeq and is a predicted model, not a curated record. Lineage: Eukaryota; Metazoa; Arthropoda; Insecta; Diptera; Drosophilidae.